RNAcentral lists this ribosomal RNA (315 nucleotides) under uncultured eukaryote. RNAcentral's name for it is "partial 18S ribosomal RNA". It matches the Rfam family "Eukaryotic small subunit ribosomal RNA", at positions 1470 to 1796 of the family's 1831-position model. The record is from RNAcentral.
CCCUUAGACGUUCUGGGCCGCACGCGCGCUACACUGACCAGUGCAACAAGCAUCCGUCCUUGGCCGACAGGCCCGGGCAAUCUUUGAACGCUGGUCGUGAUGGGGAUAGACUUUUGCAAUUUUUGGUCUUCAACGAGGAAUUCCUAGUAAACGCAAAUCAUCAACUUGCAUUGAUUACGUCCCUGCCCUUUGUACACACCGCCCGUCGCACCUACCGAUUGAAUGGUCCGGUGAAGCCUCCGGAUUGGCGCGCACCUCGGUGCCGCCGAGAAGUUGGCUAAACCUUACCAUUUAGAGGAAGGUGAAGUCGUAACA